AUGGCCAGCGAGGAAGGAAGGUGGGGAAGCAGCAGGCUGGCACGAGUGUCCUGCACUUUGGUUCCUCCAGCCCUGCUUGUCUGCGCUCCUCAUGGCCCAGGUCAGCAGCAGCCGGAGCCCCCAGACUGCUGGCCGCUGCCACCGCCGCCGCUGCUGCCACAGCAGCCACUGCCGCUGCUGCUGCCGCCACCACAGCUGCUGCCGCCGCCGCUGCUAAUGCUACAGCAGCUACUGCUACAGCAGCUACUGCCACCACCACUGCUGCAGCAACCAGAGCUCUGGUGUCGGCGACGAAGGGACCGGCGGGGUCGGUGGUGGCUCAGGCAGCAGCCGCAGCAGGAGGACACCGGAGGGCAUUUGGGGGGACAUUUUGGGGAUUGGCACUUAGGAGGGGGCUGGCACUGCUUCUGGCUCUGCUGGCUGGACAUCUUCGAGGGGAAGUCCGUGAACCUAAGGAGAAAUGGAAGAGAUGGAAGAGAUGGAAAGACGGCCGCACAGCUAUCAAGCCACUCUGUCCUUCCUGGAGAUGCUCACUCUGACACAAGGUUCUUUGUAAUCUAUAAGCUGAAUGUGGAAACGAAUAUGCAGUAAAAUCUAGUGCAGUAAAAGCUCCUUCCCUCGCAAUUCUUUGCUGCCCCCACUGAAAAACACUGACCAUCUUCCCACAUGAGCUCCAGAAUCAGCCCCGUUAUAAAGCUUCCUAAGCACUUGGUAACACGGCUGGUUGUGUGUUUUGAAACUUUCCUGGGAUGGAUCAGUAGAUGGAUCAGGAAAAGCUCUUGCCGACCCCGACUCUGGCGGCACAAGGGCCCAUGACUUGUCGGCUUGUUCCUUCUCUUCUACCUUUACCCCCUGGUUCUAUUGGUGUCCGUUUCCAGGCUGGGACACAGUCCCACAGCCAGCUCCCGGCCGGAUGCUCAGAAGUCAGGAAAGGCUGGCAUUGACAAAGUUACACAAAGCCAGCCCAGGCCUGGUUCAACCGCAGUUUGGAGAACCUCUGCCAGCAGCUCCCUUCUCCCCCGGGAACUCCUUCCUCCUCCCUGCCUUCCUCUGCCCUCUCCCCACCCAGCGCUGCCCACAGCCUGACACUCACCUGAUCAGUGGAGGAAGUGGAAGCUGUCAGUGGAAGGCUGAGGACUGAGGAGCAGGGCGCUGGAGCCCUUUUAUCCUGGGCCUGAUGAGCCCCUGGGAGUGAGGCACGGCCUGUGUAUGCAGACCAGUCACUUUCACAACCCAGAUGAGGGCGGGUCCUCACACUCCCAGCCCUGGGGCCCCCGGGGACCUCUGGGGAGAGAGGCUAAGAGGAAUCUGGAAGCUAGAGACUGCCCAGGUAUCUGCUCCACAGACCUGAUGCAGUCCAGCCAUUCCACAUUCAUGCAUUCACUCAUUCAUUAAUUCAAUAAAUAUGUACUGUCUUUCCUGGGCCCA
Molecule: long non-coding RNA, 1428 nt
Filed under: Oryctolagus cuniculus (rabbit)
Lineage: Eukaryota; Metazoa; Chordata; Mammalia; Lagomorpha; Leporidae
Description: lncRNA (ENSOCUG00000035634.1)
Source: RNAcentral